Molecule: ribosomal RNA, 610 nt
Filed under: uncultured fungus
Lineage: Eukaryota; Fungi
Description: eukaryotic LSU rRNA
Rfam family: 5.8S ribosomal RNA (bases 234-387)
Source: RNAcentral
UCUUGGUCAUUUAGAGGAAGUAAAAGUCGUAACAAGGUCUCCGUUGGUGAACCAGCGGAGGGAUCAUUAUCGAGUUUCAUAACUCCAAACCAUUGUGAACAUACCUAUCGUUGCUUCGGCGGUUUCGUCCCGGGCGCGCUUCGCGGCGUGAUCCGGAUCCAGGCGGCCGCCGGGGGAAUCAAACUCUUGUUUUCUUAGAGGAUCUUCUGAGUGGCAUAAGCAAAAUAAAUCAAAACUUUCAGCAACGGAUCUCUUGGUUCUGGCAUCGAUGAAGAACGCAGCGAAAUGCGAUAAGUAAUGUGAAUUGCAGAAUUCAGUGAAUCAUCGAAUCUUUGAACGCACAUUGCGCCCGCUAGUAUUCUAGCGGGCAUGCCUGUCCGAGCGUCAUUUCUACCCUCUAGCGCUGUCCGCUAGGUGUUGGGGCCCUGCAGGCCGUUCCCUGCAGGCCCUGAAAGUCAGCGGCGGGACCGCCGGUGUUUCGAGCGCAGUAGCACACUUACGCCCUGGAGCACCGGCGGCCGCUGGCCGUUAAACCCCCAGACCACACAAGGUUGACCUCGGAUCAGGUAGGACCACCCGCUGAACUUAAGCAUAUCAAUAAGCGGAGGAA